Molecule: ribosomal RNA, 522 nt
Filed under: uncultured bacterium
Lineage: Bacteria
Description: bacterial SSU rRNA
Rfam family: Bacterial small subunit ribosomal RNA
Source: RNAcentral
AACGAACGCUGGCGGCAGGCCUAACACAUGCAAGUCGAACGCGCGUAGCAAUACGCGAGUGGCGCACGGGUGAGUAACACGUGGGAAUCAACCCAGAGGUUCGGAAUAACCGCGGGAAACUGCGGCUAAUACCGGAUAUCCCCUACGGGGGAAAGAUUUAUCGCCUUUGGACGAGCCCGCGUCCGAUUAGCUAGUUGGUGAGGUAAUGGCUCACCAAGGCUACGAUCGGUAGCUGGUCUGAGAGGACGACCAGCCACACUGGAACUGAGACACGGUCCAGACUCCUACGGGAGGCAGCAGUGGGGAAUAUUGGGCAAUGGAGGCAACUCUGACCCAGCCAUGCCGCGUGGGUGACGAAGGUCUUCGGAUUGUAAAGCCCUUUCGGCGGGACGAUGAUGACGGUACCCGCAGAAGAAGCCCCGGCUAACUUCGUGCCUGCAGCCGCGGUAAUACGAAGGGGGCUAGCGUUGUUCGGAAUUACUGGGCGUAAAGGGCGUGUAGGCGGCCCGUUAAGUCAGGUGU